This 818-nucleotide ribosomal RNA is filed under the name uncultured Diversisporaceae. Its description in RNAcentral is "eukaryotic LSU rRNA". It matches the Rfam family "Eukaryotic large subunit ribosomal RNA", at positions 1 to 673 of the family's 3401-position model. Lineage: Eukaryota; Fungi; Glomeromycota; Glomeromycetes; Diversisporales. The record is from RNAcentral.
UGACCUCAGCUCAAGCAAGAAUACCCGCUGAACUUAAGCAUAUCAAUAAGCGGAGGAAAAGAAACUAACAAGGAUUCCCCUAGUAGCGGCGAGUGAAGAGGGAAAAGCUCAAAUUUUAAAUCUACCUGGUUCCCAGGUCGAAUUGUAUUUUGAAGAAGCGAUAUCUGUGUUGAGGUCUGGUUCAAGUUCUUUGGAACAAGACAUCAUGGAGGGUGAGAAUCCCGUGCAUGAUCAGACCAAGAUACUUUAUAUUCGUUUUCUAAGAGUCGAGUUGUUUGGGAAUGCAGCUCAAAUUGGGUGGUAGACUUCACCUAAGGCUAAAUAUCAGCGAGAGACCGAUAGCGAACAAGUACUGUGAAGGAAAGAUGAAAAGCACUUUGAAAAGAGAGUUAAAUAGUACGUGAAAUUGUUGAAAGGGAAACGAUUGAAGUCAGUCAUGCUAGUGAAAAUUCAGUUUGACGGGUUUUAGGUUUAGGAGUAAGAGGUAGGGUCAAACCGUCUCUCUUUUAAACUUGGAAUUUGUCGGAUGCACUUUUUCUUUGGCAGGUCAGCGUCGAUUUCGGGGGUUGUAAAAUACAUGGGGAAAAGUAGCUCUGCUUCGGGAGAGCGUUAUAGACCCUAGGAGAUGCAGCCUGCGGGAUCGAGGAUUGCAGCAAAUGCCUUUGCUUGUCGCCUGAUUUCUGGUUGUUACCUCGUUUAUGACAACAUUCUUGUCAUCGAUGAGUACUAAUGGCUACUAGGUUAGAGCGAUCUAAAAUUUGCUAAGGAUGCUGGCGUAAUGGCUUUGAACGACCCGUCUUGAAACACGGACCAAGGAG